UAAACUUAAUUAAUAAAUUAAAACUUUUAACAACGGAUCUCUUGGUUCUGGCAUCGAUGAAGAACGCAGCGAAAUGCGAUAAGUAAUGUGAAUUGCAGAAUUCAGUGAAUCAUCGAAUCUUUGAACGCACAUUGCGCCCCCUGGUAUUCCGGGGGGCAUGCCUGUUCGAGCGUCAUUUCACCACUCAAGCCUCGCUUGGUAUUGGGCAACGCGGUCCGCCGCGUGCCUCAAAUCGACCGGCUGGGUCUUCUGUCCCCUAAGCGUUGUGGAAACUAUUCGCUAAAGGGUGUUCGGGAGGCUACGCCGUAAAACAACCCCAUUUCUAAGGUUGACCUCGGAUCAGGUAGGGAUACCCGCUGAACUUAAGCAUAUCAAUAAGCGGAGGA
Molecule: ribosomal RNA, 386 nt
Filed under: Cladosporium cladosporioides
Lineage: Eukaryota; Fungi; Ascomycota; Dothideomycetes; Cladosporiales; Cladosporiaceae
Description: eukaryotic LSU rRNA
Rfam family: 5.8S ribosomal RNA (bases 22-175)
Source: RNAcentral